GACUCAUGUAUGGGUUUAGGAUGAUGAAGAAAAGAGAAAAAACACUAGUUUGUUCCCCUCCUACCUUGGGACAGGGAGGGGGAAUCCAGAUCACUUGUAGUCCCAGGUGCCUUGUGUGAUAAAAGCGUAUAAUAUAAGAAGUGGAGCAGAGUGUGAGGGAGCUGGGCCGAUUGAGAGGGGCAGGGCCUAGCGCCACGAUGCGCCUCUAUCCACAUAUAGCUGUGCACCUGUUCAGGAUCGGGGAUAUAGAAAGUGCAGCGAAAAAAAAAACAAAACAAAAAAACUG
Molecule: non-coding RNA, 286 nt
Organism: Pelobates cultripes (western spadefoot toad)
Lineage: Eukaryota; Metazoa; Chordata; Amphibia; Anura; Pelobatidae
Source: the annotation of a GenBank genome assembly